RNAcentral lists this ribosomal RNA (253 nucleotides) under uncultured bacterium. RNAcentral's name for it is "partial 16S ribosomal RNA". It matches the Rfam family "Bacterial small subunit ribosomal RNA", at positions 524 to 776 of the family's 1533-position model. The record is from RNAcentral.
CACGUAGGGCGCAAGCGUUGUCCGGAAUUAUUGGGCGUAAAGCGCGCGCAGGUGGUUCCUUAAGUCUGAUGUGAAAGCCCACGGCUCAACCGUGGAGGGUCAUUGGAAACUGGGGAACUUGAGUGCAGAAGAGGAAAGUGGAAUUCCACGUGUAGCGGUGAAAUGCGUAGAGAUGUGGAGGAACACCAGUGGCGAAGGCGACUUUCUGGUCUGUAACUGACACUGAGGCGCGAAAGCGUGGGGAGCAAACAGG